RNAcentral lists this long non-coding RNA (17351 nucleotides) under Lynx pardinus (Iberian lynx). The stretch from base 9445 to 9529 matches the Rfam family "tRNA". The record is from RNAcentral. Lineage: Eukaryota; Metazoa; Chordata; Mammalia; Carnivora; Felidae.
CGCCGCCGCCGCUACGCACCCUGCCCCCGGGGGGCGGGCUGGAGGGAGGGGGCGGGCGCCGGGAGCCGGCCGGGGGUCCGCCGCAGCCAUGGCGCUGCGCGGAGGGGGCCGGCGACCCGCUUCACCUGCCGCAGAGGGGGCGGCGGGCGCCGUUUCACCUGCGGGAGCGGGAGGCGGCCGAGGCGAGGCAGAGGCGGCGGCGCGCGCGGCGGCGCCUCCGGGUCCUAGAACCGCAUGCUCCCGCUCUUCCGAGCCGGGGAUCGGCGGGGUCUGGGUGAGGGGGGUCACGGCCUGGGAGUCGGAGGGGGCAAACCUCCGGGAGUCGGAGGGGGCAAACCUCCUUGCCGAGGAUGCCAGCAACUGCGUGCUCGGCUUGGAGACCCAUGACGGUGCGGCGUUGGGGCGCAAGGGCUGGGUCCCCCUCUCGGAUUCUGGACUGAGAAGGUGGGAACCCCCUUCCAGGCCCCCUACCCCUUGUUUCUCCCCUCAUCUGUUUGGUCCAGAGAGGAGCUGAGGAUCAGAGGGAACCAUCUGCAAACGAGAGCCCCAAAGCAUGGCGAGGAGCGCAGAUCCAGGCCAACCGAGACCCCCGGACCUGUCCCACCCUGGACCAACUCUGCGCCCAUACCGACAUCCCCAGGGUUUUAUAACGAGGGCGCCUAUGGGAAAAGGCAAGGUACGGGAAUCUGGGGACCACCAAGGCGGUCUCAAGGAGAAGCGCAGGGGUUGGGGAACAGAGGAUUAAAGCCAGUAUCCAGGCUGAGAAAGGAGCAGGCUCCGCAGAGGAGAAAAAAAAUAUCUCCUUGACGCUGUCCCCUCCAGGGACGUAGGGUGGCCUCUCACCUUGGUGAAUAACAAUCCCUGAAGUCUAGCAAUUACAGAAAUGCUUCCAGAGGUCUUCUUUCAUUCAUCCCUACAGUGACUGGGGAAGGUAGGUAUUGACAUCUUCAUUUAGAGAUGGGAAAACAGACUCAGGGUGGUUAGUUGACUUGCCCAAGGGCACACAACUAAUAAAGGUCACAAACAGCCCUACUCUCUGCCCACCUUCAAAAUCCACACUGCCUUGGAGCUGCUGCCCUAGCCCCCACUGCCCCUCUCAUCCAGGGUGGGCCAGAAAGGUGAGUGAGUAUUGGGAGGACUAUAGAACCCCAGCUCUGAGACACAAUCUCCAACCUGUAUUUGAGGCCCUUCUCCCUCAGUUGCUCUUAUUGUUCCCCAUCGAAUCUGUGGAGAUCCCGAGCUGCCCCUCCCUUCACUUCCAAAACAUUGAGGAUGGAGGGCCCACUACAUGAGGCCUGGAUUUUCUCUAGGCCAGGCCAGAGGCCAUAAGUGUCCCUUCCCCUUAUAGCUUCCUCUUCCUUCUACCUUCCCUUUCACAUGCAGAACCACUGACAAAUUUCAGCAGGAGCUGGGAAAUUUACCUAAUUUUAAGGAAGGCCCUGGGAUGAGACAGCCCCUUCCCCCAGACUGACCUGAUUUAAGUGCUUCUUCUGCCAAGGUCACCAGCACGUCUGGUGGGUGAGAGAUGUGGUUACUUAUUUCAUGUCCCAGCCAGGGACGCACAGGUAAGACAAAGCAGGAUUUUCCUGGAACCUGCUACCAAGGUGAUCCAUUCUGUGCCCGCUACCCUUAUCCUCAGCUGACCUGGGGUUCUUGCCCUUGACAUUAGCUAGGACAUCUUUUUUUAUUUCUUUUUAAAGAAUUUAGUCCCUGAUCCCCUCAAUGCUUGUCCCUUUCCUUUUAACAACAUACCUUAAAUUUACACUAGCUGUGUGCCCAGCACUGUGCUCACUCCUGUUGAUUCAGUGGCAGAUGAAAAGAGUCCCCAUUAUUAGACUGCUCACAGCCUAGCAAGGGACAGACUCCAAACACAUCUGGGAGAGUAACUACCAUCAGGCAGACUGGUAGCAGGUGUUCAUGCUUCCCCUUGCCCAGAACUACUUCUUCCGGUAGGUAAGAGAAGGAUGGGAGUUGUGCGCUGCAACUGAAAAUCCGAGCAGGGUGGGGAGCCUCUAAUGAAGUAGUUGCCAGCCUAAGCCCUCCAUUCCUGGGGAUGCUCUGGCCAUUGCCAACCACUGCCACCCAAGGCCUGGUGGAAACAAGGGUAAGCUACAUAGAACCUCUUACGUGGAAAAUUAUGAACUCAACAAGCCUACAUUCUGUCUCGCGCGCGCUGAUCAGAAAUGUGAGGCACAAAAAAAGGGAGAGCAUUGAAUCAAUGAUUACCUAAUAAAUUUGGUUGGCUUGGCAGGAAGUAUCUUUCCAAUCGUGGUCCACAGAGGAGGAAAUCCUAGAAGGGAGGCUUGGUGAAGUUUGGAACCAAUGCUUUGGUGGAUCUGUGCUUCCACCUGCUGGACGCAGGAGGUAUGACAGCCAAGACAGGGCGAGGCCUUCAGAAGUGAUGGAGAUGGAGUCACAGCGUGGGUGACAUUUCUAGACUGUUGUGGCCUUGUCACCUCCGAUGGAGAAAUUGUGCUGUCACUGGGGACACUCAGAGCUUAGAUGACUGAGCAGGUCUCCCCAGGAAUCUUCCUCCCUCUGCCUGAUGACCAUUACUCAUCGAGCGCCUCUUCAAAUUAAAAAAAAAAUUUUUUUUUAGGGAUGCCUGGGUGGCUCAAUGGGUUGAGCGACCGGCUUUGGCUCAGGUCAUGAUCUCACGGUUUGUGAGUUCGAGCCCCGCAUCGGGCUCUGUGCUGACAGCUCAGAGCCAGGAACCUGCUUCUGAUUCUGUGUCUCCCUCUCUCUCUGCUCCUCCCCCACUCAUGCUCUGUCUCUCUCUGUCUCAGAAAUAAAUAAACAUUUAAAAAAAAUUGUCUUUAAUUUUUUUUUUGUCUUUAAUUUUUUUAAGAUAAUACAUACAUGUGCUCAGUUUACAAGAAAAGCAGUUUUAAUGCAUCUUUCCAGAAAAGUUUAGGGCAUAUACAAGCCGAGUGUGUGUGUGUGUGUGUGUGUGUGUGUGUGUGUGUGUGUGUGUUUGGUACACAGUCUACAAUUUGGCACCUUGAUAUUUUCACUUAAUCGACACAGUCGAUUUUCACAAAAUCGACACAGUCCUCCAUCAUAUGGGUGUGUCACAAUCUAUUUCACUAGUCCCCUCCUAGUGGGUAUUUUGGUUAUGUCAGUCUUUUGUUGCUACAAACAAUGGUGCUUGCAGGAAAUAUCUCAGUACAUAUAUUUGUCUGCACUUGUGUGUGUAGCCGUAAGACAAGUUUAUCAAUAUGACAAUGCUGAGUCAAAGGUUCUGCACUUUUUAAAAGUUUAUCUAUUUAUUUUGAAAGAGAAAGAGAGAGAAUGUGUGCCCGGAUGCGGGGCUCGAUCCCACAAACCAUGAGAUCGUGACCUGAGCUGAAAUCAAGAGUCAGAUGCUCAACUGACUGAGCCACCCAGGCACCCCAAAGGUUAUGCACUUUUAAAUUUGGGGUUGAUUUUUGGGAAUUUGGAUAGAUUUGGAAUUGCCUUCCAAAAAGUUUGCACCAAUUUGCAACCCCCAACAAUGGAGGACAGUGCCCGUUUUCCCACAUCCUCACUCUAUUAUAUUAUAGGUAUUAUAAGGCCUUUUGAUGUUUGGUGAGGCCUAUUUGAAAGUCUUUGUCAUAGGCCGGUAAUGAUCUGUCUUUUUCUCCAAGGCAGAGACUGUAUCUUUUCUGUCCCUAUACUUCCAGUGUAGGAUCUAAAUAUGAAUGAAGGUAAACAGGAUUGCAUUUUGGUGGGGAUGAAGGGAAGGGGUAGAAGGUUAGAACUAAGCAGGAAGUCUGGUUUUUUUUAAUGUUUAUUUAUUAAUUUUGAGAGGGGAGGGAGGGGCAGAGAGAGAGAGAGAGAAUCCCAAGCAGACUCCACGCUGUCUGUGCAGAUGUGGGACUGGAUCCCACGAACCAUGAGAUCAUGACCUGAGCUGAAAUCAAGAGUUGGACACUCAAAUGACUGAGCCACCCAGGCAGCCCUAGGAAGCCUGUCCUUAAGGGUCACUCUCAUUUCCAGGCCUCAGUCAAGCCUCUGCCCCAAACCCAACAGCCCUCCUCUGGCAGGAGCCUCCCAGAUUUUGAGAUCUGAGAUGGAAGGCCCAAAUUCCUGACACAGCUCUCACUUAGCUCUCCUGCAUCCCAGGGAUGGGCAUCAUCAUCUCUGAGACCCCUAAAGACUAGAAAUAAGGGGUGCCUAGAUGGCUCAGUUGAUUAAGCAUCUGAUUCUUGAUUUCGACUCAGGUCAUGAACUCACAAUUUGUGAGUUCAAGCCCCACAUAGGGCUCUGUGCUGACAGCACGGAGCCUGCUUGGGAUUCUGUCUUUCCUCUCUCUCUCUGCCCUUUGCCCCACUCUCAAAAAUAAAUAAAUAAACUUAAAAAAAAGCUGGAAAUAAGUCAGGUGUUCAGCUAUAGGGGUCAGUGAAACCAGCAAUCCAAUAGACCUUUCUGCAAUGAUGAAAAUGUUUCCUUCUAUCGGUGCUGUCCAGUAUGACAGCCACUGGCCAUAUGUAGCUAUACUGAGCUCUUGAAAUGUGGCUAGUGCAACUGAGGGAAUGAAUUUCAAAUUUGACUUAAUUGUAAUUAAGUUCAGUGUAAAUAGCCACAUGUAGCUACUAUAGUGGACAGUGAAGGGUUAAAUAAACAUAAUAUAUCUCCACAAUGGGAAAAUAUGCAGCUGUAGAAGAAGGAAAGGGAGAAGGAGAAGGAGAAGGAGAAGGAGGAGGAGGAGGAGAAGGAGGAGAAGGAGGCGGCUGUCAGAUAUUGAUAUGGAAAGAUCUCCAGGAUAUUUUGAAGCAAAAAGACAGUGCAAAACAGCAUAUAUGCCGUGCUGUCUUUUGUGUAAGAAAGGGAGGUGGAGAUAAGAAUAAAUGUUUGUAUUUGCUUGAAUUUACAUGAGCAGGUAACAAAAGUAGUAACCUAUAAAGUGCUGGGAAACAGGGUAGACCAGGCAGAGGUGGGAGCAAGACUUCCCAAUACAUUUUUCUAAACUGUUUUGGUUUUUGAACCAUAUGCAUUUAUUCUCUAUUCAAAAGUUUAAGUAGGGGCACCUGGGUGGCUUAGUCACUUAAGCGUCUGACUCUUGGUUUUGGCUCGGGUCAUGAUCUCACGGUUUAGGAGUUCGAGCCCCACAACCGGGCUCUGUGCUGAUGGUACAGAGCCUGGCUGGGAUUCUCUCUCUCUCUCCUUUCUCUGCCUAAUCCCUCCCUUGCUUGUGUGCUCGCUCUCUCUCUCUCUCUCUCUCUCAAAACAAAUAAAUAAACUUUAAAAAUUUCCCUAAAAAAGUUAAGGUAAAAUAAAAUCAAGUUGCUUAUUGGCAACUUGUGUUAGAUGAGGGAAAUAAUCCCACUGUCCUGUCUAUGUGACCUCCCAGAGGACAGCCCAGGGGAAAGGGAUGGGCAACACUUCAUGAGCCAUGCCCUAGGUGACACAAGUGCCCAAACCUGGUAAAGCAUCAGAAUCGGAAUCUCAGCAGGUAUGCCUUUUAUGGUCCACGCAGACACUGAACUAUCCUUGUCAACACCUCCCAGUGAAGAGAGGAUAAGUCCUUAGUACCAGGCGCAUGUCCCUUCCCUGGAGAGAGCAAUGCCUAAAGACUGGAAAUAAGCCAGGUAGGGGCUGUCCACAUGUCAUUCAAAGCUGAACAGCAGCCCUGCAAGGCAGGCCUACUGCUCUGCUCUCUGAGCUCAGUGUCCUCUUAAAGGACUGAUUUAUCCAAGGUCACACAGCUGGUAAAUCUGAACCACAGGACCAGGAUCUGAACCCAGUCAUACAACCCCUGAGCCUCAGCUUUCUUAUUAUGAAAAAAUGACAAUAGGACCUCAUAGAAUUGUUUUGAAUAUUAAGUAAAAUUUCAACUUAAGAGCCAACAGAGACUUUUAUUUCCAACAAUAUGGUGGACUAUAUGUCCAGAGAAACCCUUCUAGUACAAAGCAACUAGAAAUGCUAGAUAAAAGAUUAAAAGCUGUGUGUGUGAGUGUGUGCAUGUAUGAUAUUUUCAAUGCAAGGCCAAGCUUGCAAGAAAAGAAAAUCCUCAAAGGCACAAAUCCAAAAUGGAAGACAAAACCUGGGGCCUCAUAAGGUAGGAGGUUGGAGCAGACAUAAUCCACUCCUCUCAAAAGUCAAGGGUGCCCAGAAGGUAAAAUCUUUGGGUAAAUGUGAGAAGCAAAAAAACAAAAACAAAAACAAAAACAAAAAAAACAAAAAAACCUACCCUGCUGAGAGAGAUAGUAGGAUUCUUGCCUGCUUUAAUUUAUCAAGAAUAUAUAACCGGGGUGCCUGGGUGGCGCAGUCGGUUAAGCGUCUGACUUCAGCCAGGUCACGAUCUCACGGUCCGUGAGUUCAAGCCCCACGUCAGGCUCUGGGCUGAUGGCUCAGAGCCUGGAGCCUGUUUCCGAUUCUGUGUCUCCCUCUCUCUCUGCCCCUCCCCCGUUCAUGCUCUGUCUCUCUCUGUCCCAAAAAUAAAUAAACAUUGAAAAAAAAAUUAAAAAAAAAAAAGAAUAUAUAACCAUUCUACAGUUAUAUGCACCUAAUAACAUAUCUUCAAAAUCAUAAAGCAGAAAUAGUGGGAAAAAUAGACAAGUCCACCAAUAUAAAGGAAGAUUUAAAUGACCUCCCUCUGGAAUUAGUAGUUUAAGCAGACAAAAAAGAUCAGUAAGUACAUAGCAGAUUUGAACUGACAGGCUUACUUUAAGUGAAUACUUUGAAUUCUCCAGUCAACAAUUAUUGGCAAACACACUUUUGCUUUCAGCCACACAUUUACAAAAGUGACCACAUAGUAGAUCACGAGGCAAGUUCUGACCAAUUCCAAACAAUCAUACAGACCUCACUAUCUGACAGCAAUUAAAUUAGAAAUCAAUAAUCAAAAGACAGCAUAAAAGACAAACCCAUGUAUUUGCAAAUGUCAAAAUGCACUUCUAAAUAAUUCAUGGAUUGAAGAACUCCUAUCAGAAAUUGGAAAAUAUUUGGAAUAGAGGAUCAGAAAUAUUACGUAUAAAGCCCUUAACACAUAGGGCCCUAAAAAUGGCAGUGAGGAUGAUGAUGUUAAAGAUGCAACAACAGUUUGCAGAGUGAGAGGUGUCUGUAAGACAAACUUGGCUUUGUCUGUAAGACAAACUUGGCAGUGGUUAAUUCUGAGUUCAAAGGAGGUGUAAAGACUGAAGAUCUGCGUUUGGAGGUAACCACUGAGUCUGAGAAGAGGGGUCCCAGAGGAUGAGUUACAAACAACCUGUGAGUGGGAUUAUUCUGGUCCCAUUUUCCUAAUGAGGCCACCGAGGAUGCCAGCGGUGAGGCAACUCAAGUCAUCCGGUUAGAAAGUGGCACAGCCAGGAUUCAAAUCCAAGUUGGCUGCCUUACUUUCAUGCUGCCCCUGAGGGAGGGAGGUGGGGACAAGCUUUUUGGUUAACACCAGUCUGCCAAGAAGGUAUCUGGUCCCGUCUCGAGCUUUGGGGUGUCUGGUGGAGUGAGCUGAGAGGCCACAAACCACAACUGUCGCCUUUGUUGGUUGGUUGGUCGAUCUGUCUCUUUGUCUCAGCCAGCUCUGCUUGCUCACCCAAAAGUGAAAAUGUGUGCUUUCAUGUUUGAAGCCCACACAAACUGGCGCAGAUGAGGCCCCAUCCAACCAGCGGCCAAAGGGAAUGGGGCGCACAGGUGCCCAGAGACGCUGAGCUGGGAGAGAGGGUGGGCUGAGGGAGCCACUUGCAGCACCCAGGCCCACCAGGGCUAGGGGGCAUCUACAAUGGGGAACAGAGCCUGUACCUGGCACACAGUAAGUGUUGAAUGAAUGCUGACUAAAGGAGCACUUAUGGAAGACCUGCUGAAUACCAAUCAUCGUACCUGGUAUCCUUUACUUUGAUCCCCAUGGUAUCACACUGCGGUCGGUGUUACUAGCCCCAUUUAAAAUAUAUAUUUAUUUAUUUAUUUAUUUAUUCAUUUUUGAGAGUGAGAGCAUGAGCCAGAGAGGAGCAGCGGUGGGGGUGGGGGGGGUGGGGACAGAGGAUCUGAAGCGGGCUCUGUGCUGACAGCAGCGAGCCCAGUGCGGGGCUCAAACAGACAAACCACGAGAUCAUGACCUGAGCCCAAGUCAGAUGCUUAGCCAACUGAGUCUCCCAGGUGCCCCACCCCAUUUUUUACAGAUAGGGAGACUGGGACUCAGAGGGUGACUUGUCCAAGGUCCAGGAAAUAGCUGAGCAGAGACAAGAACCCUGGUCUGGGGGCCUAGCUCCCCUGCUGUUUUCCCUAUAGCAAGGACAGCCAGUUUUUGAAGAUCCCUCUCUCAGCCAGCCAGCUGACCCAGGGGCCACUGUGAUAAAAGCCAAGGCAUUGGGCAAGCAGCUGAACCUCUUCACUCGUUACUCAGUGACGAUUUAGGAUGGGCCAACAGUGUCCCAGGCACCAGAACUAGUAGAAUAGAAUCCUCUAAUUCUAUGAGAUUGGAAUUAGACCCAGGCCUGCCUGGGAAGAGCUGACAGCCUACAAUGGGCAACAUGAGGGGAGAUUCUGUGUGUCAGAGGCUUAGUUAGUGAAGAAACUAAUCUUAAACCCACUCGUGACAUUUGUGGGUCAAGGGCCAGAAGUCAACUGGACCCCACUUUUAAUUCAUACGUGUGUGUGUGUGUGUGUGUGUGUAUAUAUAUAUAUAUAUAUGCAUACAUAUAUGUGUGUGUGUGUAUUUAAUUCAUAUAUAUAUAUAUAUAUUAUAUAACUUUUUGUUUAAUUUUUUAGAGAGAGAGAUCACGAAGGGCAGAGAGAGAGGGGGACAGAGGAUCCGAAGCGGGCUCUAUGCUGACAGAAGAAAGCCCAAUGUGAGACUCAAACUCACAAACCUCCCGGUUUGUGAUCAUGACCUGAGCUGAAUUUGGUGGAUGUUUAACUGACUGAGCCACCCAUGUGCCCCUACAUAUCUAUCUAUCUAUCUAGCUAUAGCUAUAGCUAUCUAUAGAUAUAGAUAUAGAUAUAGAUAUAGAUAUACAUGUAUAGAUAGAUAGAUAGAUAGAUAGAUAGAAAUGAAUUAAAUUUUUAUGGUUUUUUUAUGUUUAUUUUUAGAUGUUUUUUUUUUUCAACGUUUAUUUAUUUUUGGGACAGAGAGAGACAGAGCAUGAACGGGCGAGGGGCAGAGAGAGAGGGAGAUACAGAAUCGGAAACAGGCUCCAGGCUCUGAGCCAUCAGCCCAGAGCCCGACGCAGGGCUCGAACUCACGGACCGCGAGAUCGUGACCUGGCUGAAGUCGGACGCUUAACCGACUGCGCCACCCAGGCGCCCCUAGAUGUUUAUUUUUGAGAGAGAGUGUGUGUGCCAAGGAGCAAGGGAAGGGCAGAGAGAGAGGGAGAGAGAGAGAAUCCAAAGCAGGCUCUGAGCUGUCAGCACAAAGCCUGACAUGGGGCUCGAACCCACUGUGAGAUUAUGACCUGAGCCAAAGUCGGAUGCUCAACUGACCGAGCCACCCAGGUGCCCCAAUUCAUCUAUAUAUUUAAAAGUUAUAGGGGCGCCUGGGUGGCUCAGUAGGUUGAGCGUCUGACUUCGGCUCAGGUCACGAUCUCCCAGUUUGUGAGUUCGAGCCCUGCGUCGGGCUCUGUGCUGACAGCUCAGAGCCUGUAGCCUGCUUCUGAUUCUUUCUCCCUAUCUCUCUGCUCCUCCCCUGUUCAUGCUCGCUCUCUCUCUCUCUCUCUCUCUCAAAGAUAAACAUUAAAAAAAUUUUUUUUUGGGUUAUAAAUCAAGACAACACAGAUAAAUUUUAUCUUCUUACCCCAGUGAGAAAAAUAUACCUUCAAGAGGACCCAGAAAGCCAGAUUCAACUUAACAAUUCCAGGACUGGGGUGCCUAGCUGGCUCAGUCAGUAGAGCAUGCAACCCUUGAUCUGGGGGUCGUAAGUUCAAGUCCCACAUUAGACAUGGGACUACUUUUAAAAAAAUUCUAGGACUGGGGUGCCUGGGUGGCGCAGUCGGUUAAGCGUCCGACUUCAGCCAGGUCACGAUCUCGCGGUCCGUGGGUUCGAGCCCUGCGUCAGGCUCUGGGCUGAUGGCUCAGAGCCUAGAGCCUGUUUCGGAUUCUGUGUCUCCCUCUCUCUCUGCCCCUCCCCCAUUCAUGCUCUGUCUCUCUCUGUCCCAAAAAUAAAUAAAAAACGUUGGAAAAAAAAUUAAAAAAUAAAAAUAAAAAAAAAAUUCUAGGACUAUGCACUGGAACAUGACAGUUCAGGGUGAGUGCCGCCUUCCCUUCCCACUUCAGACUCUGUCCUGCAUAAAGAGGAGCCACAAUCACACACACACACACACACACACACACACACAUACACACACACCAGGCUACAUAUCCAACCCCCAUCCAUACGCUCAUAAACAGAACCCUUAUGCACCUGUGCACACCAACUGUACAGUCUGGCCUUAGGAGAAUAAACCUGGGACAUAGCCUGUGCAAGCCCUAGAAACAGGGCUUGGGGCCCUCUGGGAAGGGAACCCCAAGACUGCAGGUACCUAAGGCAUGGGCAAGUUCUGUACUAUCCAAUAUGGUAGCCUCUAGUCACAUAUGGCUAUUUAAAUUUUGAUUUAAAUAAUUUAAAAAUAAAUAAAAUUUAAAAGCAAGUCCCUAAGUUGCAGUGAGCCACAUUCCAAGUGCUCAAUAGCCACAUGUGGCUAGUGGUCACCAUAUUGGACGGUGCAGACAGAGAACAUUUCCAUUAUUGCUGAAAAUGCUACCAGACAGCACUGGUCUAGAAAGUGAGGCAAUGCUCCUACUGGGCUCAUUGCCUUCUGGGGAGGGAUACAGCUGGAGGAGGCCCAAGCUAGACCCUUUUGCCCAGAUGUAAAGGUAGAACUGCCAGAGGAUGUCAGGAAGUCUUCACAGAGAGGAUGACAUUUGAGCAUUUGGCCAAAUAUGUGGGAAGUGGUGGAAAGGGGGUGGUGAAAGGCCACUGAAAUAGAGAAAGCAUAUGCAAAGGCCCAGUGGCAACAAUGAUCUGUUGGGAGAAACACAACAGAUUUGAUAUGACUGAAAUGCAGAGUGUGGACCUAGAAGGGAGGAGGAUGGUAAUCUGGAAGGAUCCACUGCCAAUCCUCAAGGUUCUGGGGCCAUGCUAAAGUUAUGAGACUCAAGCCUGGUAGCUGAUGAGAUCAGGUGGAGCAGGAAGGACCAGACCAGCUGGACACAUCAGAAAAGAAAAGGCAAAAUUGAAGACCAGUUAGAGAUUUAAAAACAAAACAACAGACCAUGAGAGAGAAGCAGAGGGGAGGGAAGGGAGAGAUAUCUUCUAGAGGAAAGACAUGGCUUUGAUGUAAAGGUGAAAAAUGGCUGACGCUUGGAGUGCAGGUGUCAGAGAAAGGGUGAGUCACAAUAAACACAAGGGCGAAGUUACAGAUUGGGAGAGAAGUCAAUAGUUCCACAUGAGAUUCCUAGAAUCUGAAAGGCAUCCACAGGGCCAGUCCAGACAGGAGAGUGGAGAUUCAGGGCUGCACCAAGUUGGUAAAGAAAAAAGGGAUGUGGAAGCUACUAGAAGGCUGAGCUCUCCUACGGAGGUGAACAAGUCCGGAGACCUAUCUACGGACCAAAAUUGGGAGGAUGUCUCCACUGGGGUUUCAGGAAGCCACAGGAAAAACCAGGACCUGCAGAUUUUCCCCAGAUAAACCACUUGCAGCAGGGCCGGCUCCUAGAUCAGCCAGCAGGCACCAGCUAGCAUUCAGUCAUUUGUUGGUGAGGGAGGAUGGGUGGAGCCUGGGGAAGCUGACUCUGGGAGUUUUCAGGGAGGAGGGUGAGUCUCAGGCCCUGGGAGGAGGUCAACAGGGUAAGGACUAUGAAGGCGUUGAGUUGGGCAAUUGGGGUGUCCCUAGUGGCCUUCAGAAAAGAAUAAUGCUUUCAUUAGGAACUGCUGAGUUUCAAGGGCAAGUGUGGAGUUAAGAGGGAGAGAAGGGGAGAAACAGGGAGGGGCAGAGCCUAAGCCUACCAUCCACAGAAAGAAAACACACAUGUAAUUAAUGGUGUCAUUCUUAACCUGUGUUGAAACUCUGAUUGGAGUUUUUUACCGAUAACCCUGGGUCAGUCCUUAGAGAUUCAGGAGUUUCUUAAACCCCUUAAAUGGAGACCCCCAUUCCUAAGAAAAUAAUAUUGCUUAUGUAGUAUUUCUACCAGGGAUGGGUAGCCUGAAUCUGCCCAGAAGGAAACACCAGACACACCCAAAGUGAGGAUCACUCAAUUAAAAGAAAGGGGGGGGGGGUGCUCUACUCUGAAAAAAUGUCACGAAAGAUGGAAAAAGCCAAGGAAUUGCUCAGAUUAGAGAAGCUUAAAGAAACACGACAAUUAAAUGUAAUGUGUGAUCCUGGUCUGGAUCCUACACUGAAGGGGGAAAAUGCUCCCAGGGACCCUGACUGAAUCCCUUGAUAAAACUGUAAUAUGGACAGGAGAUUAGUGACAAGUAUUGUAUCAAUGUUAAAUUUCCCAAAGUUGAAAAGUCUACUGUGGUUAUAGAGAGAAUGCCCUUGUUCUUAGGAAAUACCCACUGAAGCAUUUAUGAGCAAACGAACAUAAUGGUUUCCACUCUCAGUUCUGGAGGGAAAAAAUACACACACACAGUGAGAAAGGAAGCAAAUGGGACAAAAUUUUAACAACUGGUGAUGCUGUACGGAUAUUUUGGUAUACAGUAUAUUUUAACAACUGGGUAAGUGGUAUGUGCAGGAUCUUUGUAUAGUUCUUGCAACUCUUCUCUAAGCUUGAAAUUUUUCCAAAUAAAAAGGUAAAACAAACAAACAAAAAAUCUCUACCCAAACCACAAGCGUCCUGAAGUUAGGGACAUAGAUCCUGCUCUUGCCCAGCGCUGGUCCUGGAUUGGCCUCGGCCUAGGUCAUGGGUCUACAGGGCAGAAUGAGGAACACAGGUGGUGACCGGAAGAGCCGAGGCCGCCGCUUGGGGACAUUCCUCGCCCCCGACGUUUUCGGACCGGACAGCUGAGGCAGCCGCGGACCCAAGCCCGGGUGACUGACUCACCCACUGGCGCUCCCUGGGCGGAGGGGGAGCCCCGCCCCGCAGGGAGGGCCCCGGCCAGCAGGUGCCGCUGUUGAGCCGGCCCUGGCAGACCCUGGCAGAAGCUCAGCGGGGACCUGGAGAUGGUGAGCCCAAGGGGUGUCUUCCAGAACUCGGCCCACCGGGGUCUUUAUAGACUCGCUCAUCCUUGCCCGGGUCUAACUUCCCACUCCCAGGCCCUCAGCUUCCCCGCACCCCCUCCCCCACCUUGGAUGCCCCAAGGCAACUCCCUUGGAUGACGCCUGGUGGAGGAGGGGAGGGGAUAAGUAGGAAGAGGCUUCAGUCCUUGGCCCUAGAGUCUGAGUAGCAAACGAACCCUCCCUUUUUUCUGCCCCAUCUCCCUCUUCUUCUCCCCCUCCCCCAUUCACUCCCUCCUCCUCCUCCUCCUCCCCCUCACCCCUCCUCCUCCUCCCCCAUCCCUCCUCAUACUCCUCCCCCUCUCCUCCUCCUCCCCCUCCUCCUCCUCUUCUUCCUCCUUCUCCUGCUCUAGAGCAGCCCCAGGCUUUCAAAACAAACACACCCCUCCCCAGCCCAUCCCCAGCCUGCCUGGGCCUUUCUCCAGUUGUUGCUCCUAGACUCCAGUUCCUUCUGCUGGGUCCAGGGAUCUGGAUGGAGAUGGCCAGGGGGUAACAGGGUGCUGAGGAGGGUAGGAGAGGCCCCGUGGUGUUAUUUCUUCCUGUGUAGAAAGGAGUUGCUCUUGGGGUGCCUGGCUGACUCAGUGGGAGGAGAGUGAGGCUCUUGAUCUGGGGGUGGUGAGUUCGAGCCCCACGUGGGGUGUAGAGAUUACUAAAAUGAAUUUUAAAAACUUAAAAAAGAAAAAAACAGUUGCUUGCACAGCUCCCCUACAGUUGAGUGGACAGCGGUGGGGCGGCAAGGGGAGUCUUCCUUGCCUGGGAUGGUGGAACUGGCCCUUUACUCCAGCUCUCUCCCGGCCUUCCCAGACUCAGGAUGAAAGGGGCCUAGAGAGGUCAUUUUGCCCGUCCCCCUGGGCCCAAGAAGGACUAUAACUGUGUGAAGGUCUCUCAAUCCUACAUGUUGACUAAUUUCUUCAACAACCUUCCACUGAGAGCCAGCUUUGUGCAAGGUACCAGGAAACUUCCCUGAUGCGAGCACUUUAAAUCCUCACCAAGACCGCUGAGAUGGGUGCUGUUAUUCUAAGCUGACUUGUCCAAAGGUCCAGUUCAAUCCAGUGCUCUGCUGUGGCUCCUUCUGACUCACCCAGUAGGACUGACCUACUUUAGCUUUGAGGCCACCACUGUACCUUGCACAAUGUCUCAGGUACAGUAUUUGUCUUACCAGCUUCCACUGCUUUGCUCUCAUGGGUCCCCCACCCUGACCAGACUGGGCUCCAGACCACAGCAACUGGAGACAGGGAAGCCUGGGGGCCUUGCUCUAGCCCUCACUAUGCAGCCUUGAGGAAGUUUCUUAACUUCUUCAAGAUCAGUUUUCUAAUCUGUAAAACAGAGUUAACGGCAAUACCCUCCUCAUGGGUUUGACAUGAUGGUACAAUAAGAAGAUGCAUAUAAAGUGCUUAGUACAGUUUAACUUUAUUUUUUUAAUUUUUUUAAUGUUUAGUUUUGAGAGAGAGGGAGAGGGAGAGAGAGAGAGAGAGAGAGAGAGAGAGAGAGAGAGAGAGAGAGCUGGCGCACAAGUGAGGGAGGGGCAGAGAGAGAGGGAGACACAGAAUCAGAAGCAGGCUCCAGGCUCUGAGCUGCCCGCAGACAGCCCAACUCGGGGCUUGACCUCACAAACCACGAGAUCAUGACCUGAGCUGAAGUUGGAGGCUCAACCGACUGAGCCACCCAGGCAUCCCUACAGUUUAACUUUAAAAAGGGAAGCCCUGGGGCGCCUGGGUGGCGCAGUCGGUUAAGCAUCUGACUUUGGCUCAGGUCAGGAUCUCACGGUCGGUCGGUGAGUUCAAGCCCCGCGUCAGGCUCUGUGCUGACAGCUCAGAGCCUGGAGCCUGUUUCAGAUUCUGUGUCUCCCUCUCUCUCUGACCCUCCCCCACUCAUGCUGUCUCUCCCUGUCUCAAAAAUAAAUAAACAUUAAAAAAAAUUUUUUUUUUUAAAAAGGGAAGCCCAUCCCCACCGGAAUGGAUAUGGAACAAAGGAACUCUCAUAUUCAGGUGGUAGAGGUAGAAAACCAUUUAUCAUUUCCCGUUACCACUGAAAAUAUACGCAUUCAGUGUGACCUGGCAGUUUCACUCCUAGAUAUGUAACCAAGAGGAACAUGUGCACACGAGCACCAAAAGGCAUGUGAGAUAGCAGCAAUAAUCAUAAUAACCCCAAACUGGAAACAGCUCAAUGUUCAGCAGCAGCAGCAGAAUUAGCUAAUGCAUUUUAGUAUAUUCGUGCCAUGGAAUACUCUAGAGCAAUGAAAAAUAACGAGCUACUGCUACUCAUAACAACAUAGAUAAAUCUCACAGACGUAAUGUGAGGGAAAGAAACCAAGCAAAAGAGAGGUACAGAUAGCCUGUUUAUUUCCUCACAAAGUGCCAACCAACCAACUAAUCUAUGGUAAGAGUCAGAGCAGAGGGUACUCUUGGUGAUUAAAAGUGAGGCUCAGGGAGUUCUGGGAUGCUGAUAGCGUUCUGUGUCUUUAGCGGGUGUGGUUACACAAAUGUAUUGACUUGGUAAAAAUUCAUUAAGCUGUAUGCAUGAUGUAUGCACUUGUUUGUAUACAUGUUAUACUUUAAUUUUUUUUUUGCUUCUUUUUUUUUUUUUUUUUUCAACGUUUAUUUAUUUUUGGGACAGAGAGAGACAGAGCAUGAACAGGGGAGGGGCAGAGAGAGAGGGAGACACAGAAUCGGAAACAGGCUCCAGGCUCUGAGCCAUCAGCCCAGAGCCCGACGCGGGGCUCGAACUCACGGACCGCGAGAUCGUGACCUGGCUGAAGUCGGACGCUUAGCCGACUGCGCCACCCAGGCGCCCCUAUACUUUAAUUUUUAAAAAGUUUACACUAAUAUAAAAAAAGACUAACGAAUUGAGCUAUGUGUAUCACACAAAUAAAUCUUAAAAUGUUUCUGAGUAAAAAUCAAGUUAUUAAAAGAUUUGGGUCGGGGGCGGGAGGGCGCCUGGGUGGCUCAGUCACUUGAGCAUCCAACGCUUGAUGCAUUGGGGGCUCUGUGCUGACAGCACGGAGCCUGCUUGGGAUUCUCUGUCUCCCUGUCUCUCUGUCCCUCCUCCACCAGCGCUGUCUCUGUCUCUCUCAAGAUAAAUAAACAACAACAACAACAAAAAAGAACACAUACCUAGGUGGUACAAAAGACAGACAUUCAAGGGGAUGCUACGUGCCAAAUGCAGAACAGCGGUGCCAUUUUUGUGGGAGAGAGGGGCCUGCGGUACGUACGAGGGACUUAAAAUGUUUUUCUAAUUUUCUUAAGCUUGGUGGUUCCUGUCAUGGGUAUUCAUUUGAUUAUUCUUAUUGCUUUAUACUUUUCUGAUUGCCUGACAUAUUUCAUAGUUAAAAAUCCUCCUCGGUGUUAAAAAAAAACAAAAACAAAAAAACAAAAAACCAAAGCAGGAAAGGGAAGACACUGUGCCUGAUUUAUCUUUGUGUUACCACCACGAACCUAGUGCCUGAUACUCAAUAAAUGUUUGGCGAAUGAAGAUCACUGGACCAGGAAAAGCCUCUGAGCCAGGGUUCAAUGUCAGGUCUUCCUACACCAGAUCCCAAGUCCAGGGCACACCCUACCACGCCUCUCCCCACCCUGCCACAAGUUGGGGGGCGGCAGUAACGGAGGCCCCCGCCUCACUCAGCACUCUGUGUAUCUGAACUGAAUUACAGAGAACAGAGACGGAAGAAACAAGACAACUUCGUGAAUGGGCAGUCAGCGAAUUCCGAGUCUGGUAGCCUAAAUUUCUAUGAAUCACACUGCCAAAAUCUUUUAGUAAUUUGCUCUUUAUCCAGCGAAACCUUUUAAGACCUACCUGUGCGGUAAACUCGAUGCUUUUGUCUUUUUUAUGUGAGUGCAUUUGUCCUCUCCAUGGGACAGAAAAGGGGGCUCUCUAAGCCAAGGUUUGGUUCAAACAGGAUCAUGGUGCACAUUCGGCUGGUGCGAGAGAAUAAACAAACAGCCUUCGGCACAUUAAUUCUUGGCGUGCAAAGAGACGCCGCUAAUUGCGGGCGCGUACUGUCUGUCUGUUAGGCCCCGUGUGGAAUGCAGCCUCUGAGGAAAGCUCUUCUCACCACUCAAAACCCACCCAAGCAUGCCCAGCCCUGAGAGGGGCUUCUAGGAAUGCAAACGACAGGCUGCCUGUGCAGCAAUAAACAGAGUUAACAGCACAGUGAACACACGGGAGGGGACUCACAGGCUUUGAGGAUUGUUUUUAAGGAACAGAAACAGGUCCGAUUCUGGGGGAGGCAGAUUAUUCGCUUACCUCGAACCA